GAUGAACGCUGGCGGCGUGCCUAAUACAUGCAAGUCGAGCGAACAGACGAGGAGCUUGCUCCUCUGACGUUAGCGGCGGACGGGUGAGUAACACGUGGAUAACCUACCUAUAAGACUGGGAUAACUUCGGGAAACCGGAGCUAAUACCGGAUAAUAUAUUGAACCGCAUGGUUCAAUAGUGAAAGACGGUUUUGCUGUCACUUAUAGAGGGAUCCGCGCCGCAUUAGCUAGUUGUUAAGGUAACGGCUUACCAAGGCAACGAUGCGUAGCCGACCGGAGAGGGUGAUCGGCCACACUGGAACUGAGACACGGUCCAGACUCCUACGGGAGGCAGCAGUAGGGAAUCUUCCGCAAUGGGCGAAAGCCUGACGGAGCAACGCCGCGUGAGUGAUGAAGGUCUUCGGAUCGUAAAACUCUGUUAUUAGGGAAGAACAAAUGUGUAAGUAACUAUGCACGUCUUGACGGUACCUAAUCAGAAAGCCACGGCUAACUACGUG
RNAcentral lists this ribosomal RNA (497 nucleotides) under uncultured bacterium. Its description in RNAcentral is "partial 16S ribosomal RNA". It matches the Rfam family "Bacterial small subunit ribosomal RNA", at positions 28 to 507 of the family's 1533-position model. The record is from RNAcentral.